GGGCUCUUGACACAGGGGUAGCACACACGCUUUGCAUGUGUGAGGUCAUGGGUUCAAAUCCCAUAGUGUCCA
This 72-nucleotide transfer RNA is filed under the name Laccaria bicolor S238N-H82. RNAcentral describes it as "tRNA-Ala (TGC) (tRNA-Ala-TGC-6-1)". It matches the Rfam family "tRNA". Rfam says of the family: Transfer RNA (tRNA) molecules are approximately 80 nucleotides in length. Their secondary structure includes four short double-helical elements and three loops (D, anti-codon, and T loops). Further hydrogen bonds mediate the characteristic L-shaped molecular structure. tRNAs have two regions of fundamental functional importance: the anti-codon, which is responsible for specific mRNA codon recognition, and the 3' end, to which the tRNAs corresponding amino acid is attached (by aminoacyl-tRNA synthetases). tRNAs cope with the degeneracy of the genetic code in two manners: having more than one tRNA (with a specific anti-codon) for a particular amino acid; and 'wobble' base-pairing, i.e. permitting non-standard base-pairing at the 3rd anti-codon position. The record is from RNAcentral. Lineage: Eukaryota; Fungi; Basidiomycota; Agaricomycetes; Agaricales; Hydnangiaceae.